This 253-nucleotide ribosomal RNA is filed under the name uncultured bacterium. RNAcentral's name for it is "partial 16S ribosomal RNA". It matches the Rfam family "Bacterial small subunit ribosomal RNA", at positions 524 to 776 of the family's 1533-position model. The record is from RNAcentral.
UACGAAGGGGGCUAGCGUUGCUCGGAAUCACUGGGCGUAAAGGGUGCGUAGGCGGGUCUUUAAGUCAGGGGUGAAAUCCUGGAGCUCAACUCCAGAACUGCCUUUGAUACUGAAGAUCUUGAGUUCGGGAGAGGUGAGUGGAACUGCGAGUGAAGAGGUGAAAUUCGUAGAUAUUCGCAAGAACACCAGUGGCGAAGGCGGCUCACUGGCCCGAUACUGACGCUGAGGCACGAAAGCGUGGGGAGCAAACAGG